Vicia faba (fava bean) is the source of this 276-nucleotide non-coding RNA. The record is from the annotation of a GenBank genome assembly. NCBI's taxonomy places the organism in Eukaryota, Viridiplantae, Streptophyta, Magnoliopsida, Fabales, Fabaceae.
AUGAAUAGAUCUAGCAUUUCCGAAUCAAGAAAGAGUGUGUCAUGGAACGGUUCAUACCGGAGAGUUUAUCUAUCGACGGCGUCGCCGGCGACGGAAAGUUGGAAGCAUGUCGGAAAAUUGGUGGCGAAUAUCGGCGUUGGAGAAGGAUAUAUGAAGGUGAAGUUCAAAAAUUUGAGAAGUAUUACCGGAAAGAGAGGUGGAUUUGAAGGUGAAAAUGGAGGUGGGAGAAGGACACGUGUCAGUUGUGGAUUAGAGCUAGGAUGGUAUCUUAUCUAA